This 435-nucleotide long non-coding RNA is filed under the name Capra hircus (goat). Its description in RNAcentral is "lncRNA (ENSCHIG00010003618.1)". The record is from RNAcentral. Lineage: Eukaryota; Metazoa; Chordata; Mammalia; Artiodactyla; Bovidae.
UCAGUCCAGUUCUUAUUGAAGAGAUACUUCUUUCUCUCAGGAAAUGAUGUGGUCAUGUAAUCGAUUACCAUGCCACAUGUAUCAGCUUAAGUGCUUGUAAAUAAGUCAAAUUAUUUAAAGUAUAAUAAUCUGCAGUAAAGGACUUCAGUUUGUUUUUUUCCAAAUUCAUCAUGAAAAGUUGCUGAUCACACAUUUUCAGCAAUAUGCGUACUUUAAGAUUAUAUAAAAUUACUUUUCAUGGACUAUAUUUAAUCUUCUGGAGAUAAACUGAAAAGAUGACUGUUUCAGUUGGCAGGACUGGUUGAUCAUUCAUCUCUCCUCAACAUUUGGAAAAAGAAAAGAAAGAAGACAAGACUCCUAAAGACUCUUGUAUCUGAAUUCUUUGAAGAAUGUUCUUACAUGUUUGUGUUUUGCAGUAUAUGUGGUGAAAAUAUC